GGGGCGGGGCAGGGCAGCGUGUUGCUCCCCUGGCUGCUGAAGCCCGAGGUGGCUGUGGAGGAAGGCGAGAAGCCACCGCUCACCAGGGCUGGGGAGAGACGCAGCACCACGCGUUAUCAAAAGGCGGGCAAGGGCAAAACUCGUCAUCCACAGCAUGCACUCACACGGAAACAUGCAACGAAAAGACAAGACACCAAUUUUGGGGGGUCUAAUCUCUGACAACUUGCUCACAUGGAUGGAGGAUUUGCUGGAAACAUGGACGAGGAAUGUAGCGCCUGUUUGCCACAUUCGGGGAACCCGAUUAAACGCAACCGACGUACCCGUGUCUUGAGGCCUGAUGGGAAGUCUGCUCUGACUGGCGGGAAGAAUCUCUAGUUUAACAGUUUCAGAGGCGUUGGCCAGCAGCUGUGUCGCCUCCAUCAGGGAGCAGUGCUCUGUGCUGGUCCCG
Long non-coding RNA from Mugil cephalus (flathead mullet), 448 nucleotides. RefSeq lists it as uncharacterized. The transcript is spliced from 3 exons. NCBI's taxonomy places the organism in Eukaryota, Metazoa, Chordata, Actinopteri, Mugiliformes, Mugilidae. The record is from RefSeq and is a predicted model, not a curated record.